AACGAACGCUGGCGGCAUGCCUAACACAUGCAAGUCGAACGAAGGCUUCGGCCUUAGUGGCGCACGGGUGCGUAACGCGUGGGAAUCUGCCCUUUGCUUCGGAAUAACAGUUAGAAAUGACUGCUAAUACCGGAUGAUGUCGCAAGACCAAAGAUUUAUCGGCAAAGGAUGAGCCCGCGUAGGAUUAGCUAGUUGGUGGGGUAAAGGCCUACCAAGGCGACGAUCCUUAGCUGGUCUGAGAGGAUGAUCAGCCACACUGGGACUGAGACACGGCCCAGACUCCUACGGGAGGCAGCAGUGGGGAAUAUUGGACAAGGGGCGAAGGCCUGAGCCAGCAAUGCCGCGUGAGUGAUGAAGGCCUUAGGGUUGUAAAGCUCUUUUACCCGGGAUGAUAAUGACAGUACCGGGAGAAUAAGCUCCGGCUAACUCCGUG
Molecule: ribosomal RNA, 433 nt
Filed under: uncultured bacterium
Lineage: Bacteria
Description: partial 16S ribosomal RNA
Rfam family: Bacterial small subunit ribosomal RNA
Source: RNAcentral